AGUUUCUGUCGUUAGAAUGGGCUCUUGACUGAGUUCUCACCUUCCACACCUUUGGUUGUCUAGAGAAUAAGACCAAUCUUGUAAAAACAACUUGAAGAAAGGAAGAGAGGGGCUCUAGCAUAUCUUGCACUCUUGUGAUGGACACUGCUCCAACCUUGGAAAGCUACAGAAUCAGUUGGCCAAGGAGAUUGAGACUGCAAAAGAAGACACUUGUAAUAAGUUAUCCCACACAGAGACUAAAGAACCAAAUCCUUCAUGGAAUCAAGAGAUGAAACUGAAAGUUUGAUCCUGCAGGUUGAAGACUCUCUUUUGGAGUUGUGUUUUUCUAUGUUGUGUGACCUACCCAUAUUUCCUAAGAAGCCCUCACUGCCUCAUGUGGGCUCUUCCCAGAAGUGCCUCUGUGAAAAUGAUGAGUGAAACCAAUGAAGGUUAGCUGGGU
This is a long non-coding RNA of Pogoniulus pusillus (Red-fronted tinkerbird), 439 nucleotides long. RefSeq lists it as uncharacterized. The record is from RefSeq and is a predicted model, not a curated record. The transcript has 4 exons. Lineage: Eukaryota; Metazoa; Chordata; Aves; Piciformes; Lybiidae.